AGUGUAGCGGUUAUCACAUCAUUCUUUCAUGGCGAAGAUCGCGGGUUCAAUUCCCGUCGAGA
This 62-nucleotide transfer RNA is filed under the name Streptococcaceae bacterium. RNAcentral describes it as "tRNA-Glu". It matches the Rfam family "tRNA", at positions 9 to 63 of the family's 71-position model. From Rfam's summary of the family: Transfer RNA (tRNA) molecules are approximately 80 nucleotides in length. Lineage: Bacteria; Bacillati; Bacillota; Bacilli; Lactobacillales; Streptococcaceae. The record is from RNAcentral.